This 460-nucleotide ribosomal RNA is filed under the name uncultured bacterium. RNAcentral's name for it is "partial 16S ribosomal RNA". It matches the Rfam family "Bacterial small subunit ribosomal RNA", at positions 338 to 795 of the family's 1533-position model. The record is from RNAcentral.
CCUACGGUGCGCAGCAGUGAGGCAUAUUUGUCAAUGGGCGAGAGCCUGAACCAGCCAAGUCGCGUGAGUGAAGACGGUCCUAUGGAUUGUCAACCUCUUUUGUCGGGGAGCAAAAAGGCCUCGUGAGGCCACAAGUGAGAGUACCCGAAGAAAAAGCAUCGGCUAACUCCGUGCCAGCAGCCGCGGUAAUACGGAGGAUGCGAGCGUUAUCCGGAUUUAUUGGGUUUAAAGGGUGCGUAGGCGGACUGGAAAGUCAGCGGUAAAAUCGAGAGGCUCAACCUCUUUCCGCCGUUGAUACUGUCGGUCUUGAGUGGGCGAGAAGUAUGCGGAAUGCGUGGUGUAGCGGUGAAAUGCAUAGAUAUCACGCAGAACUCCGAUUGCGAAGGCAGCAUACCGGCGCUAAACUGACGCUCAUGCACGAAAGUGUGGGUAUCGAACAGGAUUAGAUACCCCAGUAGUC